This is a long non-coding RNA of Hippoglossus stenolepis (Pacific halibut), 1745 nucleotides long. RefSeq lists it as uncharacterized. The transcript is spliced from 2 exons. NCBI's taxonomy places the organism in Eukaryota, Metazoa, Chordata, Actinopteri, Pleuronectiformes, Pleuronectidae. The record is from RefSeq and is a predicted model, not a curated record.
GUGCGCUGCCUCUCAUGUCGAGGCUGGCUCUCGUCUCUCUCCCUCUCUCUCCGUUCUCUUUGCUCUCUUUGUCUCCAUCUCAGGUGAAUUGUAGACAUGUGAUCAAACGCCCAAGCCUCUAUCCAUUAACCCUCGUAAAUGAAAAAAUGGGGAACAAAAAGCAGUUUUGUGCUGCAAACAUGGAAAAAAUUGAUAACAGAGAGAGAUGUGUGCGUCUUUCUCCCCUUAUGUCCAGAGCAAAGACACCAGUUGUGCACACAUAGAAAACCCUCUGCGGCAGACAGGACACAUGGAUCUCUCUGCUGCGACACUUCUCUGUCUCCAAACACUCCGCCGCACCACCUGGAUUCGGGCCUUGGAUGCUAGGGGGCUGUGUUUGGGGGGUGGUGGGUUAGUUUGUGUUGGGGAGGUGUGCACCCACAUGCUGCACCCCCAGAAAGCGACCCCUGGGACCCUGGCAUGAGGCCCUGCAUGGUGAAGUGUACCAGAGGUGGGCGGGGCAUCAGCAGAGGGUCAUCAGCAGGGUGACAUGUCCAUCGCACAUCUGGACCCUGUGUGCCAGCUGCUGCUGUCCUGAAAAAAACCCCAGUUGCUGGCUCUCUCCUGCCUGAGACACCUGUGUGGUUUGUGUUGCUUCAUCUUUGCACUCGUGCACCCACCUCAACUCUGCUGGUCUCACUGAUCACAUAUUGUUAGUUUAAGUUCUCCUCUUGGAUCUAUUCCUGUAUAAUUGUUACAGCUCUGUUGUGUGCACCUCCUUCUUUUGCCAUGGCCACGCGGCUCGGUGUGUGACAGUGAUGUGACUUAUAUAUUACAGUCUGUGGGAAGAUAUGGUAUCGCAAAUAAAGUGAAGCAAAUUCACUUUUAAAACCAUUUAUCUGUUUACUCCUGCCUCUUUACUCUGUUACUCAUUAAAACACAGACAAUGCAGGAUGUGUUGAAUUACAUGGUUAGAAAUGCGGCUGUUUAUCAGUACUUGGGGUUAAUGUUACCUCGGCCAAGUGUGUUUCCAACCCCGUCCAUUUCUUUGUAAGAAAGAUUACACAAAAACUACUGAAUGGAUUUUAAAAGAAGUGGGGGGAAGAAGCCAUUGAAUUUUGAAGCAGAUCUGGAUCAGGGAGAUGAUCCAGAAGUUUUUUUUUAACUUUCUUUAACUUUGUGAGAUAGGAUGUUUUGACAUUUUCACAAUUUCCCCAGAAAAUAACUCAUGCAUCUUGUUGAAAAAACAAAGGCUCAUUUAGAGAACUUAUAUCUAUGAGUGUUUGAUAUUUAAUGUAGCUUGAUCUAAUUAAAGUGGAUUGUUGGGCCUUGGCAGAGAUUUAGUGCCAUUACAGUUUUGGAAUAUGAAAUUUAAUUGAAGCGAAGGCAGUGUACAUUUCUGAAAAGCACCUUAAAACUAAUUUGUUGGCUAUAUCUGUAAUUUUAAGCUUCCAUCUAAUGGGUUGUAUAUUCAAUAUUUUCAAUAAUGUUUUUUUAAUCUAAAUCUUCGCUGCCUCUUUUAAUCCAUCUUUCGCCCUUUCAUUGUUUUUUUUUAAAAGAUCUGUCACACCGUUUCCCCACUGCAAAAAUAAAUUAUUAAACAUAUGUCAGUUAAGAUUUUACAUUUCAACCACUGCACCAUCCCCAAAUAAAAAAUAUAUAUUAAAAAAAUGGGACAUAACAUUUUAUUUGCUGUGGUCUUAUAUGUGUUUGAUGUGAACUGAUCCAAAACCACAAAUAAAGUGAUAUUUCUUUUAUCAAAACCA